GGCGGACCGAUCAGUCAGAGGUGAAAUCCCAGGGCUCAACCCUGGAACUGCCUUUGAUACUGUCGGUCUUGAGGUCGAGAGAGGUGAGUGGAAUUCCGAGUGUAGAGGUGAAAUUCGUAGAUAUUCGGAGGAACACCAGUGGCGAAGGCGGCUCACUGGCUCGAUACUGAC
RNAcentral lists this ribosomal RNA (171 nucleotides) under uncultured bacterium. RNAcentral describes it as "partial 16S ribosomal RNA". It matches the Rfam family "Bacterial small subunit ribosomal RNA", at positions 574 to 744 of the family's 1533-position model. The record is from RNAcentral.